RNAcentral lists this ribosomal RNA (468 nucleotides) under uncultured bacterium. RNAcentral describes it as "partial 16S ribosomal RNA". It matches the Rfam family "Bacterial small subunit ribosomal RNA", at positions 28 to 507 of the family's 1533-position model. The record is from RNAcentral.
GACGAACGCUGGCGGCGUGCUUAACACAUGCAAGUCGAACGGAAAGGCCCUGCUUUUGUGUGGUGCUCGAGUGGCGAACGGGUGAGUAACACGUGAGUAACCUGCCCUUGACUUUGGGAUAACUUCAGGAAACUGGGGCUACUACCGGAUAGGAGCUCCUGCUGCAUGGUGGGGGUUGGAACUUUUCGGCUGUUGUGGAUGGACUCGCGGCUUAUCAGCUUGUUGGGGGGGGAGUGGCUUACCAAGGGUUUGACGGGUAGCCGGCCCGGGAGGGUGACCGGCGACAUGGGGACUGAGAUACGGACCAGACUCCUACGGGAGGCAGCAGUGGGGAAUAUUGCACAAUGGGCGGAAGCCUGAUGCAGCAACGCCGCGUGCGGGAUGACGGCCUUCGGGUUGUAAACCGCUUUCGCCUGUGACGAAGCGUGAGUGACGGUAAUGGGUAAAGAAGCACCGGCUAACUACGUG